UGGGGAAUAACCAGUCGAAAGGCUGGCUAAUACCGCAUAAUGCAGCGGCACGACAUCGUGACAGUUGUUAAAGCAGCAAUGCGCCUGGAGAGGAGCCUGCGUCUGAUUAGGUAGUUGGUGAGGUAACGGCUCACCAAGCCUGCGAUCAGUAGCUGGUCUGAGAGGACGGCCAGCCACAAUGGCACUGAAACACGGGCCAU
This 200-nucleotide ribosomal RNA is filed under the name uncultured bacterium. RNAcentral describes it as "partial 16S ribosomal RNA". It matches the Rfam family "Bacterial small subunit ribosomal RNA", at positions 137 to 334 of the family's 1533-position model. The record is from RNAcentral.